CCUACGGGAGGCAGCAGUGAGGAAUAUUGGUCAAUGGACGAGAGUCUGAACCAGCGAAGUCGCGUGAAGGAUGACUGCCCUAUGGGUUGUAAACUUCUUUUGUAAAGGAAUAAAACGAGGCACGUGUGCCUUUUUGCAUGUACUUUAUGAUUAAGGAUCGGCUAACUCCGUGCCAGCAGCCGCGGUAAUACGGAGGAUCCGAGCGUUAUCCGGAUUUAUUGGGUUUAAAGGGAGCGUAGAUGGGUUGUUAAGUCAGUUGUGAAAGUUUGCGGCUCAACCGUAAAAUUGCAAUUGAUACUGGCAGUCGUGAGUACAGUUGAGGUAGGCGGAAUUCGUGGUGUAGCGGUGAAAUGCUUAGAUAUCACGAAGAACCCCGAUUGCGAAGGCAGCUUACUAAACUGUGACUGACAUUGAUGCUCGAAAGUGUGGGUAUCAAACAGGAUUAGAUACCCCUGUAGUC
Molecule: ribosomal RNA, 460 nt
Filed under: uncultured bacterium
Lineage: Bacteria
Description: partial 16S ribosomal RNA
Rfam family: Bacterial small subunit ribosomal RNA
Source: RNAcentral